RNAcentral lists this ribosomal RNA (620 nucleotides) under uncultured Trichoderma. Its description in RNAcentral is "eukaryotic LSU rRNA". The stretch from base 236 to 389 matches the Rfam family "5.8S ribosomal RNA". The record is from RNAcentral. Lineage: Eukaryota; Fungi; Ascomycota; Sordariomycetes; Hypocreales; Hypocreaceae.
UCUCCGUUGGUGAACCAGCGGAGGGAUCAUUACCGAGUUUACAACUCCCAAACCCAAUGUGAACGUUACCAAACUGUUGCCUCGGCGGGAUCUUCUGCCCCGGGUGCGUCGCAGCCCCGGACCAAGGCGCCCGCCGGAGGAAUCAACCAAAACUCUUAUUGUAUACCCCCUCGCGGGUUUUUUUAUAAUCUGAGCCUUCUCGGCGCCUCUCGUAGGCGUUUCGAAAAUGAAUCAAAACUUUCAACAACGGAUCUCUUGGUUCUGGCAUCGAUGAAGAACGCAGCGAAAUGCGAUAAGUAAUGUGAAUUGCAGAAUUCAGUGAAUCAUCGAAUCUUUGAACGCACAUUGCGCCCGCCAGUAUUCUGGCGGGCAUGCCUGUCCGAGCGUCAUUUCAACCCUCGAACCCCUCCGGGGGGUCGGCGUUGGGGAUCGGCCUUCCUUCACGGGGGCCGUCUCCGAAAUACAGUGGCGGUCUCGCCGCAGCCUCUCCUGCGCAGUAGUUUGCACACUCGCAUCGGGAGCGCGGCGCGUCCACAGCCGUUAAACACCCAACUUCUGAAAUGUUGACCUCGGAUCAGGUAGGAAUACCCGCUGAACUUAAGCAUAUCAAUAAGCGGAGG